Dipodomys spectabilis (banner-tailed kangaroo rat) is the source of this 1249-nucleotide long non-coding RNA. RefSeq lists it as uncharacterized. The record is from RefSeq and is a predicted model, not a curated record. NCBI's taxonomy places the organism in Eukaryota, Metazoa, Chordata, Mammalia, Rodentia, Heteromyidae. The transcript has 3 exons.
UUUGCUUCAGUCAAAAAUUUUAAAUGCUAUGUUUACCCAUUUUGUCUUAGUAACCUAUUUAUGAAAUUCUCUUCCCCAAGAUAAUUUUCAAGGGAGAAAACGCAGCUUUCUCUUCUUGAUGCCACCUAUUUUUUUUGGCCUUCCUGCUUUGUUGGCAGUUGGAGAGGCACAAACCCCUGGCAUUGAGUUUUCACUGACAACUGCGCUGAUCAGUCCUUAGGAGGCUUUGAGCUUGAAAGGGGGGAGGGGGAGGGAGGAGAGAAAGCUGGUCCCUGUAAUCACUGCUUUAAGAGCUCUUAACAAAACAAACAAUAUUUAUGCAUUUCUCCUUCGCAUUCCAUUUUUACCAGAAUAUAACAAAGAAGUCAUGAUUUUACAGACUUAAAUCAGAAUAUAGGUUUUUACAAGUUUUUAAAAUUCAACAUGUGUUUUAAAUUUUAUUGAUUUCAGUGGGGGGAGGGUAAAAAACCCACCUACUUCAAGGUUGUUUUUUUUUAUGAUUCUGCAGGUCUCAAUUUCCCAUUUUCAGAUGGUAGGCCUAUUAUUUUUUCAAAUUCAUUUAUUAAUUUUUGACAGACAGAGAAGAUUCUAUGUAUGUAUCGUGUACAACAUUACUUUGAAGUAUAUACACACUGUGGAAUAUUAAGAACUAGUUUUACUUUAAAAAUGUCUGUUUUCACAUACUCUUACAUACUCACAUAUACUCAUAAGGACAUAUAUAAAAUUUUUUUUCUAAAGCACCAUUUCACACCUAUCAUGAAAAAUAAUUCAUUUUCUUUUAUAACUUUUAUGAAGAUAAUAAUGCAAUAUACAAUAUCAUUUAAAAUAUAAAUAUCAGCAAAUUAAAACACUGAGAACUUAAAAUUCUGUUCAGAAAUAUUUUAAAAAGCUCACAUAAAUGUGUAAAUUAUAAACUUAUGAUUUACUGAGCAGUCCUAAUAUUUAAAUGAAUGGACAAGAAUUUCUUUCAGCAUUAAAUAAAAAGAACACUAAGUCAAAAUUCAGUUGAAACUCUAAUGGUCAAGUGAACCCAUGAACUCCACAAGGUGACUUUUAUCCUGAUGGCCCAAUAUACAACACAAGAAUAAAAUGGAGAACAUCUACAUACUUUACCUUUUAGCUUUUAUAUUUUUAAGACUAAUUAUCUUGAGGAAGACUUUGCAUCAGAAGAGCUUGGCACAAUAGAGGAUAAUGUGGCUCCGUACUUUGAAAAACAAGUCGAGUUCAGAUAAUUGAUGAAUAAUUACAA